AUGGCCCCCUGCGGCUCCUGCUUUGAUCCCCGGUUCUUCCACGUCAAGCGGACCAUCGCCAAGCAGCCUCCACCAGCCACCCCCACGCUCGCCCACGGCCCCGCUGCUCCCCCGGGCCCUGCCCUGUGGGGCCUCGGGGGCUGUGAGACCCUCCCAGCCUGGGCAGCCCCCGGCAUCCUCCAGGGACCACCCACACAGCCCCCGCUGACGCAGCUCCCAUCCUUCAGCUACCAAGGCAGAGCGGUGGCCGCAGCGCCCCCGGCGCUGCUGCUGACCUCCAUCCCUGGCCUCCAGCACAUCCGGGGACCUUCUGGAUGGAGCCAAAUCUCCAGCACGGCCACCCCCACAGGGGCACCCCUGGGCAGCCAUGGCACCCGACAAAGCCACGUGCCCCCCAGACCCUUGGCUGCCCCCCAGAAACCAGCUCCUGGGGACCCGGCAGGCACAGUGGAUGUGACUGAGGAGAUGCUCCUCCAAGAGGCUUUUAGGCUCUUUGCAUCCUCCACGGACACAGUGGGGUCCAGCCAGGACAGCGCCACCACCAUCUCCAGGCCUGGGGACCCUGGUGCCACCAGGGGAGAGGGCAGAGCGGUGGCCCCAGCACACACCACGCUGCCAAACUCCAUCCCCGGCCACAAGAACAGCCUUGAAUGGUCUUCAGAGACCAAGAGCUCCAGCACGGCCACCCCUGAGGAGAGAAGCCCAGACAGCAACAUCCCUGCCUCCAGUGACCUCUCCUCAGACACUGACCUCUCCUUGGACAGCAUCAUCUCCCUGGAUACCAGUGUCCCCACCAGCCCCUCUGCUGUCCACCAAUGCCAAGCCCUCGGGGAUCUCAAAGGGCCUCAAGAGUUCCCUCUGGAGGAGGCCCUGAGGCUCUUCGACUGCUCCGGGGAGGUGGGAGGUGUCAGCCAGGACAGUCCUGGCAGCAGCCCCAGGCCCACGGAGCCUGGGGACACCUGCACAGCCAUUUCCCCCAGCGACUUUGAUGCUGUCGAGCUGCCUGAGGAGCUUUUGAGUCACAACUACACUCUGGAGGAGACCAUGGAGGCUGUGCGCUUCCUGGAGAAACUCCUCAAUGGGCCGGAGUCCCAGGAGCUCUGGGAGGAUGUGGGGAUGCAGCCGUCACCAGAGUCCAAGGAGCCCUUGGGGGACGUGGGGACGGAAGUGUCAUCAAAGUCCAAGGAGCCCUUGGGGGACGUGGGGACAGAGCCAUGGCCAGUGACCCCAGAGCCCCAGGGCAACAUGGGGACGGAGCCAUCAGCACAGUCCCCGGAGCCCUGGGGGGAUGUGGGGAUGGAGCCAUGGCCACAGUCCCCAGGGCCCUGGGGGGAUGUGGUCAUGGAGCCAUCAGCACAGUCCCCGGAGCCCUGGGGGGAUGUGGGGACGGAGCUGCCAGCGACCCAGCCUGCCCUGGGGGAGAGGCGUGGGACAAAGCGGGGGAGCAGCCCCCCAUCCCCACCACCCAGCAAGCGCAGGGCUCUGGCAGGGGGGCCGGGGGCGAAUCCCACCACAAGGAAGAGACGGAGAUGA
Molecule: long non-coding RNA, 1533 nt
Filed under: Calidris pugnax (ruff)
Lineage: Eukaryota; Metazoa; Chordata; Aves; Charadriiformes; Scolopacidae
Description: lncRNA (ENSCPUG00000002070.1)
Source: RNAcentral